RNAcentral lists this transfer RNA (72 nucleotides) under Camelus bactrianus (Bactrian camel). It matches the Rfam family "tRNA". Rfam says of the family: Transfer RNA (tRNA) molecules are approximately 80 nucleotides in length. Their secondary structure includes four short double-helical elements and three loops (D, anti-codon, and T loops). RNAcentral also lists the same sequence under 2 other names. The record is from Rfam by way of RNAcentral. Lineage: Eukaryota; Metazoa; Chordata; Mammalia; Artiodactyla; Camelidae.
GAGAGUAUAGCUCAGUGGUAGAAUGUACGUCUAGCAUGCAUGAGGUCCUGGGUUCAAUCCCCAGUACCUCCA